CCUACGGGAGGCAGCAGUGGGGAAUAUUGCACAAUGGGGGAAACCCUGAUGCAGCGACGCCGCGUGAGGGAAGAAGUAUCUCGGUACGUAAAGCUCUAUCAGCAGGGAAGAAAAUGACGGUACCUGACUAAGAAGCACCGGCUAACUACGUGCCAGCAGCCGCGGUAAUACGGAGGGGGCAAGCGUUAUUCGGAUUUACUGGGUGUAAAGGGAGCGUAGACGGCAGAACAAGUCUGAAGUGAAAUCCUGUGGCUUAACCCCAGAACUGCUUUGGAAACUGUGCUGCUGGAGUGCAGGAGGGGUAGGCGGAAUUCCUGGUGUAGCGGUGAAAUGCGUAGAUAUUAGGAGGAACACCCGUGGCGAAGGCGGCUUACUGGACUGUAACUGACGUUGAGGCUCGAAAGCGUGGGGAGCAAACAGGAUUAGAUACCCUUGUAGUC
Molecule: ribosomal RNA, 440 nt
Filed under: uncultured bacterium
Lineage: Bacteria
Description: partial 16S ribosomal RNA
Rfam family: Bacterial small subunit ribosomal RNA
Source: RNAcentral